Molecule: non-coding RNA, 79 nt
Organism: Potamilus streckersoni
Lineage: Eukaryota; Metazoa; Mollusca; Bivalvia; Unionida; Unionidae
Source: the annotation of a GenBank genome assembly
GACCGCUCCGAGAUGGCGUAAUGGUUAGAGUGUCCACCUCGAAUGCGAGUGAUCGCGGGUUUGAACCCCGUCCUAGUCU